RNAcentral lists this ribosomal RNA (495 nucleotides) under uncultured bacterium. Its description in RNAcentral is "partial 16S ribosomal RNA". It matches the Rfam family "Bacterial small subunit ribosomal RNA", at positions 28 to 507 of the family's 1533-position model. The record is from RNAcentral.
GACGAACGCUGGCGGCGUGCCUAAUACAUGCAAGUAGAACGCUGAAGGAGGAGCUUGCUUCUCCGGAUGAGUUGCGAACGGGUGAGUAACGCGUAGGUAACCUGCCUGGUAGCGGGGGAUAACUAUUGGAAACGAUAGCUAAUACCGCAUAACAGUAGAUGUUGCAUGACAUUUGCUUAAAAGGUGCAAUUGCAUCACUACCAGAUGGACCUGCGUUGUAUUAGCUAGUUGGUGAGGUAACGGCUCACCAAGGCGACGAUACAUAGCCGACCUGAGAGGGUGAUCGGCCACACUGGGACUGAGACACGGCCCAGACUCCUACGGGAGGCAGCAGUAGGGAAUCUUCGGCAAUGGACGGAAGUCUGACCGAGCAACGCCGCGUGAGGGAAGAAGGUUUUCGGAUCGUAAAGCUCUGUUGUAAGAGAAGAACGAGUGUGAGAGUGGAAAGUUCACACUGUGACGGUAUCUUACCAGAAAGGGACGGCUAACUACGUG